Molecule: ribosomal RNA, 508 nt
Filed under: uncultured bacterium
Lineage: Bacteria
Description: bacterial SSU rRNA
Rfam family: Bacterial small subunit ribosomal RNA
Source: RNAcentral
GAUCAUGGCUCAGGAUGAACGCUAGCUACAGGCCUAACACAUGCAAGUCGAGGGGCAGCAGAUCGAAAGCUUGCUUUGAUGCUGGCGACCGGCGAAUGGGUGAGUCACGCGUGUCCAACCUGCCCUGUGCCCGGGGAUAGCCCUUGGAAAUGAGGAUUAACACCCGAUAGGUGGCGCUUCCGCAUGGCGGCGCCAUGAAACCGACACAGGAUGGGGACGCGUCGGAUUAGCUUGACGGCGGGGCGACGGCCCACCGUGGCGACGAUCCGCAGGGGUUCUGAGAGGAAGGUCCCCCCACACUGGCACUGAGACACGGGCCAGACUCCUACGGGAGGCGGCAGUGAGGAAUAUUGGUCAAUGGCCGAGAGGCUGAACCAGCCAAGUAAGCGUGCAGGACGACGGCCCUACGGGUUGUAAACUGCUUUUGCGGGAGGAUAAAUGACACUACGUGUAGUGUUUUGCAGGUAUCCCGUGAAUAAGGACCGGCUAAUUCCGUGCCAGCCGCCGC